AUUGAACGCUGGCGGCGUGCCUAACACAUGCAAGUCGAGCGGUAACAGGUGUAGCAAUACAUGCUGACGAGCGGCGAACGGGUGAGUAAUGCUUCGGAAUCUACCCAAUGGUGGAGAAUAACCAGCCGAAAGGUUGGCUAAUACCGCAUACGUCCCACGGGAGAAAGCAGGGGAUCGCAAGACCUUGCGCCAAUGGAUGAGCCGAAGUCGGAUUAGCAGUUGGUAGGGUAACGGCCUACCAAGGCGACGAUCCGUAGCUGGUCUGAGAGGACGACCAGCCACACUGGGACUGAGACACGGCCCAGACUCCUACGGGAGGCAGCAGUGGGAAUAUUGGACAAUGGGGAAACCCUGAUCCAGCGACGCCGCGUGUGUGAAGAAGGCCU
Molecule: ribosomal RNA, 386 nt
Filed under: uncultured bacterium
Lineage: Bacteria
Description: bacterial SSU rRNA
Rfam family: Bacterial small subunit ribosomal RNA
Source: RNAcentral